UAGAUAAACUACCCCGAACACGAUCGGCAGCUUCGACGCUGGAUGUGCAAGUUUCAUUAGGCUUCUCUGCAGAGGAUGAACCAAAUUUCGGAGGCGUCUGCUUGCCAUGCAUGGAUUGCACACACGAGAGUCCGAGAUGUUCGAAUAAUAACGCACGAGGCUUUUACGUAACCUGCCCGUUCAAGUUUCGUUCCAUUCCAUCAACACAGGGAAUCGAAAAAUCAAUCAAAUCAAGCCGGCAUCGCUCCAUGCGUGAUUGACCUCUCCAUUUUUCCAUGGAGACUCUUUCGACGAUGGACGACUCGAGAAAUUCCUGAACCCUCACGAUCGUCGGCUAGACUCUGUGAGACUGUGGCCAUGGAAAAUGACCAGGAGAGAAGGAGGCACGGACAGGGGUCAGCAGCUGAUCAAUAUCG
RNAcentral lists this long non-coding RNA (416 nucleotides) under Setaria viridis. RNAcentral's name for it is "long non-coding RNA (SVIR_LNC001144)". Lineage: Eukaryota; Viridiplantae; Streptophyta; Magnoliopsida; Poales; Poaceae. The record is from RNAcentral.